RNAcentral lists this ribosomal RNA (163 nucleotides) under Tetramolopium rockii. Its description in RNAcentral is "5.8S ribosomal RNA". It matches the Rfam family "5.8S ribosomal RNA". Rfam says of the family: 5.8S ribosomal RNA (5.8S rRNA) is a component of the large subunit of the eukaryotic ribosome. It is transcribed by RNA polymerase I as part of the 45S precursor that also contains 18S and 28S rRNA. The record is from RNAcentral. Lineage: Eukaryota; Viridiplantae; Streptophyta; Magnoliopsida; Asterales; Asteraceae.
CAAACGACUCUCGGCAACGGAUAUCUCGGCUCACGCAUCGAUGAAGAACGUAGCAAAAUGCGAUACUUGGUGUGAAUUGCAGAAUCCCGUGAACCUCGAGUUUUUGAACGCAAGUYGCGCCCGAMGCCAUUCGGCCGAGGGCACGUCUGCCUGGGCGUCACGC